UCCAGCUCCAAUAGCGUAUAUUAAAGUUGUUGCCGUUAAAAAGCUCGUAGUUGAACUUCCAUGGGCUCAGGCGGUCCUGCGCCUCGCGGMAGYGUACGGUCUGGGCCCGUGCGGAUGAGCGGCCGGUGAACCCUUGUUGAUGCCCGUUUGUUCGGACGUCCGGGGUGAACCGCCUCUGUUACCUUGAGAAAAUUAGAGUGUUCAAAGCGGGCGGCGUGAAUUUCGCCUGAAUACGUUAGCAUGGAAUAACGAAAUAGGACGUGCGGUUCUAUUUUGUUGGUUUCUAGAGUCGCCGUAAUGAUCGAUAGGGACGGUUGGGGGCAUUAGUAUUCGGUCGCUAGAGGUGAAAUUCUUGGAUCGACCGAAGACUGACUGCUGCGAAAGCGUUUGCCAAGGACGUUUUCAUUAAUCAAGAACGAAGGUUAGGGGAUCGAAAACGAUCAGAUACCGUUGUAGUCUUAACAGUAAACGAUGCCGACUAGGGAUCGGGCGACCUCGAUUCGAUGUGUCGCUCGGCACCUUACGAGAAAUCAAAGUCUUUGGGUUCGGGGGGGAGUAUGGUCGCAAGGCUGAAACUUAAAGGAAUUGACGGAAGGGCACCACCAGGAGUGGACCUCGC
This 619-nucleotide ribosomal RNA is filed under the name Gloeocantharellus purpurascens. RNAcentral's name for it is "bacterial SSU rRNA". It matches the Rfam family "Eukaryotic small subunit ribosomal RNA", at positions 586 to 1197 of the family's 1831-position model. The record is from RNAcentral. Lineage: Eukaryota; Fungi; Basidiomycota; Agaricomycetes; Gomphales; Gomphaceae.